GCCUAGUGAAGUUGAAUGAGAGAGCCAACUGAAAACUGAAGAGAGAAGCACCAGAUAAACAAAUUAUUUUAAACCUUAUCUUCGCGAACUUCCACCGCUCCUCAAUGAAUAAGGAUUGAACUGGAAGAGGGCUCCAAAAUCCAAAUUCCAAAAAUCUUUCUGUGCAAGGCUUAGCUAAGAACCUCCCUCCAAAAGGUGUUGGAAUUGAUGGGGACACUCUUUAGCCUCACUUACCAGCAAGAAGGCCAAUGCCUUUAAGGACCAUGAAGCAAAACCUCAACAAUGUCCCACACGAGUCUCUGCCAU
Salvelinus namaycush (lake trout) is the source of this 306-nucleotide long non-coding RNA. RefSeq lists it as uncharacterized. The record is from RefSeq and is a predicted model, not a curated record. The transcript is spliced from 3 exons. Lineage: Eukaryota; Metazoa; Chordata; Actinopteri; Salmoniformes; Salmonidae.